Long non-coding RNA from Lolium rigidum, 1606 nucleotides. RefSeq lists it as uncharacterized. Lineage: Eukaryota; Viridiplantae; Streptophyta; Magnoliopsida; Poales; Poaceae. The record is from RefSeq and is a predicted model, not a curated record. The transcript has 3 exons.
CACUUUUUAUCCUCUUGGGUCGUAGCACAAAAAACGCAGCCUCGAGUGGCUGUGUACGUGAGGGCCAUGAGUUCACAACGAUUGGUCCAUCAUGAGGAUUUUUUGCCCCCCUUCUUUGCAGUUCGUACCUCUCUGUUACCGCGACCACGCGUCGUCAACAAGCCCUCAUGAUUCAUGAACCAUGUAUACUAUCUCUCUUGUGCUCAGACGCUCCUGGCACCCUCUCUGCCACCACAACCUUAAUGGAUGGCAUGGUGAAGUUGUUGUAUACAUUUGGAUUUCAAUUUCUGCACUUGAGUAUGGCGUGAUUCACCUCGGAUCUCCAUCCCGAUAUUUUUGGAUUCGAUUUAUGAAGAUCUUAAUUUGUAGUUUAUUUUUCGCAUGCUCGUGCUCCUUCUCGUCACUAACCUGGAACACUGCCUCCUCCAGCCCAGCGCGAGCCGAUUCAAAGUUUAUGAUAAGGGAAGAUUUAGAAUGUGAAUAGCCAAUUAUUUCAAUAUCUGUAGUUGUGUGGCACUAAGGCAUGAUUGAGAGACUAAAGGAGGGUGUUAUCAAGGCCGAAGGGUUGCAAUAAUUUAGAGUGACAGAAGAGGGUUUCGAGUUUGAUGCGAAGAAUUAUGAAAUUCAUGAUAACAAGAUGACCUCGCUGCUCUAAGUCAUCUCUCUACCUCUCAGCCUCUUGUGGCUAUCUGAAGCUUCUUUCUUGCCCUAUUUAUUUCAUACCAUGUACUUCAUACCAUAUCAUAAUUUUAAUAUGCAGGAACCAAGGUGAUAAUGGGGAGCUUUCAACUUCGCAUGAUGAAUUGUAUGAGAGUUCUGAUGACAUGAGCCUCUAAGAGAGCAUUUCUAGAUGCAUCAACACCUAAGACAUCAGCCUUCUUAGAUGCAUCUACCCAUUCUUUUCAAAUAUUUAACACUUUAUAUCCCAGGCAUCUUCGAAACACUAAUACUUCUGUUAAAUCACUUGCUUGUAGGACGAAAAUUUGCUAUGAUGGAGUUGACAAAGAUGCUCUGAGCUGGAGUUAAAAGUGAUGAAAAGAAAUUUCUGAAGUUGCAAAAGGAAGCAUCCUUUCACAGGGGGGGAAUCAGCAAAUAUGGUAAUAUAGUAAUAGUACAGACAAGCUAAUCUCUCUCAUAAUCCGAAUUUAAAUAUACUGUUUUUUCAUGUGUCAUGCGUUUUUACUGAACUGUGUAUGAAGUUGGUUGUUUAUUAGAAUUUGUUUUACGCGAUAAUUGUUUUAGCAUGCUAGCACAGUGAUAACACAAGUUACUAUUUUGCCUUUUUUUUUCAAUUUUCCGUGUAAUAGCAUGUGAUGUAGCUGUUUGGGGAGGACUUCUUAGCAGCUUUGAGGACCAACAAACCCAUCAUCUCUGUCUCUCUCUCUCACCCUCUGGCUCUCUCUUUCUGUCUCAACUCUCUCUACAUAUAUAUUUUUAUCUUUUCUACUGGAAAAUGAUCCGAGCCAUUGACUAAGAUAAAUGGGUUCAAGAUGGAAAAUGAUAUCUGUUGUGAGUUGUGACUGAUACUAGAUUUUUUUUGUAUGAGUAAGGAUAGUCUGGAGAAAAUACAAGAUGCCAUGGAAGGAACAAGUUAUUGUCUUUUAAA